RNAcentral lists this transfer RNA (64 nucleotides) under Stereomastis sculpta. RNAcentral's name for it is "tRNA-Pro". Lineage: Eukaryota; Metazoa; Arthropoda; Malacostraca; Decapoda; Crangonidae. The record is from RNAcentral.
CAGGGGAUAGUUUAAAAAAAAUGUUAAUUUUGGGGAUUAUCGAUAAAAGGUUUUUUUCUUCUGA